UGCGUAGGUGGCAAGGUAAGUUCGGUGUGAAAUCCCCGGGCUUAACCCGGAAAUGGCAUUGAAUACUAUCUUGCUCGAGGGUUGGAGGGGGACUGGAAUUCUCGGUGUAGCAGUGAAAUGCGUAGAUAUCGAGAGGAACACCAGUGGCGAAGGCGAGUCCCUGGACAACUCCUGACACUGAGGCACGAAAGCUAGGGGAGCAAACAG
RNAcentral lists this ribosomal RNA (207 nucleotides) under uncultured Verrucomicrobiota bacterium. Its description in RNAcentral is "uncultured Verrucomicrobia bacterium partial 16S ribosomal RNA". It matches the Rfam family "Bacterial small subunit ribosomal RNA", at positions 568 to 775 of the family's 1533-position model. The record is from RNAcentral. Lineage: Bacteria; Pseudomonadati; Verrucomicrobiota.